This 485-nucleotide ribosomal RNA is filed under the name uncultured bacterium. Its description in RNAcentral is "partial 16S ribosomal RNA". It matches the Rfam family "Bacterial small subunit ribosomal RNA", at positions 30 to 507 of the family's 1533-position model. The record is from RNAcentral.
UUGAACGCUGGCGGCAUGCCUUACACAUGCCAGUCGAACGGCAGCAUGGGUGCUUGCACCUGGUGGCGAGUGGCGAACGGGUGAGUAAUACAUCGGAACAUGUCCUGUAGUGGGGGAUAGCCCGGCGAAAGCCGGAUUAAUACCGCAUACGAUCUACGGAUGAAAGCGGGGGACCUUCGGGCCUCGCGCUAUAGGGUUGGCCGAUGGCUGAUUAGCUAGUUGGUGGGGUAAAGGCCUACCAAGGCGACGAUCAGUAGCUGGUCUGAGAGGACGACCAGCCACACUGGGACUGAGACACGGCCCAGACUCCUACGGGAGGCAGCAGUGGGGAAUUUUGGACAAUGGGCGAAAGCCUGAUCCAGCAAUGCCGCGUGUGUGAAGAAGGCCUUCGGGUUGUAAAGCACUUUUGUCCGGAAAGAAAUCCUUGGCCCUAAUACGGUCGGGGGAUGACGGUACCGGAAGAAUAAGCACCGGCUAACUACGUG